This 251-nucleotide ribosomal RNA is filed under the name uncultured bacterium. RNAcentral's name for it is "partial 16S ribosomal RNA". It matches the Rfam family "Bacterial small subunit ribosomal RNA", at positions 57 to 305 of the family's 1533-position model. The record is from RNAcentral.
GCAAGUCGAACGGUAGAGAAUCUUCGGAUUCUUGAGAGUGGCGAACGGGUGAGUAACACGUAGAUGAUCUACCUUUUAGUUGGGGAUAGCCCAUGGAAACAUGGAGUAAUACCGAAUAAUCUCUUUAGGCCUUAGUCUUUAGAGGAAAGAAGCGUUUGCUUCGCUGAAAGAUGAGUCUGCGCACUAUUAGCUAGUUGGUAGGGUAAGAGCCUACCAAGGCGACGAUAGGUAGCCGGCCUGAGAGGGUGACC